CUAUACCACAAUGCAUUGCUUCUCAUUAAUAUUCGGAAUUGAACUUUGCGAGUCUUUGAGAGAUGUUUGUCGAAAAAUUGUGGUUUUCUAUCGCGAAUUUUCACUCUGAAAAUUUUGAUUUUUGGAAGGUACGUUUUUAUAAUUGUUUUAUUUGUGACCUUAAUUGCACGAUUUUUGUUUUAUGUGGUUGUCGUAUCAUGCUUCAGUGAUGUUAAUCACGCAUUGAAUUACCCUUGGUUUCGGGUCAGUGCACAUGUUACAAAAGUGCCUCCGAUACUCGCCGGGGGUUAAAUACUUUUUAAAUCAGGAAAUUCAACAAAAUUUGCAGCAUCGAAUUCAGAAAGGGUUAUUCUUUCUAUUGAUACUUCAAAACACAAAUAACCCCCUCGAACUGACGAGUUAUCGCGGUUUGAAAAUGGGGUAUAUUUCGGGGCUAUAAAAGAAAUGGCAUUGAUAUACGCCGGGGGUUAAAUAGUUUAUAAAUCGGGAAAUAAACCUAAAUUCACAUCAUUGAAUUCGGGGAGGGUCACGGUUCUAGCUGAUACUUUAAAACAUUAAUAAUCCCCUCCAACCGACGAGUUAUCGCGGUUUGAAAAUGGGGUAUAUUCCCGGUAUAGUGCCAUGACACGAAAACGGCUUUGAUAUAUGCAGGGGGUUAUUAGGUUUAUAAAUCGGGAAAUUUAAUAAAAUUCACAUCAUUGUAUUCAGUAAGGGUUACUCUUUCUAUUGGUACCUUAAAACAUAAAUAACCCCCUGAAACCGACGAGUAAAUCGUUGUUUGAAAAUGGGGUAUUUUUACUUUUGUUGUCACCAAUCGCGGGAAAAGAGGAAUUCUACAGGAAAUAUGGCGCGAAUGCAACGUAAACAAGCCAGCUUUUCUAUAAACGUAUUGUUCCUGAUUGUAUCAUUUGUUUUUAUAGAAUUCGACUUAUUCGAGUUUAUUGGAGCAAAAAAUGGAACUAUUAAUGAUGGCGAUGUUGUCAUUGUUGAUCAUGAUUUAGAAAAUGAGGAAACUCAAAUUUAAUACUGAUACGCCAGGAAAAUAUCUCGUGUGGAGAGUUCAUCAUUCACUCCAUUCAAUCGAGCUUUGUUUCAAAGUCCUGGCACAUCAGCAAAGGUAUAAUAAAAAAAAAUAUGGUAGACGAAAUUGUACUUAUAAAUGUACUGUUAUUCUUUGCUAUUUUAUUCUUAUAAAUUGUCUUUGACUCUUUGUAUAUUCAGUGUAAAGCUGGAGUAAAUACGAGCAACAAAAUUGCUGCAACUUGCAACAAAAUCUGAUUUCAACGCAUGUACGAGGCAACAUGUGUCAACAUUUCUAUGACUUGUAUUAAGUUAUGUGUCAACAUCUCCACUUAACAUCUGUUGAAAUCAGAUUUUGUUGCAAAUUGCAGCUAUUUUGUUGUCUGUAUUUCUCCACCUUAAUACCUCUGUGUAACAUUAUUCUGCAGUGUAACAUUAUUCAUGUAUGUUUAUUCAUAUGUCAUCUGCGCCCCAAUUUCCAUUUUAGUAAAUGACAUACUUUUUUGUAGUUUCCUAGCAGAAAGAUCAGGCUGACUCUGUCAGAGAAGUCACCAGUGAAAAAAACAUAAAUGGACCUUUGAGGAAAAUAAAGCUUUGAUCAAGUUGAUAUCUAUUGCCAAAAAAGAUCCAUGGAUCUGGAGAAAUUUUGUCCAUAACAAAAUAAAAUAACAACAAUUUACCGCAUUAGCCUAGUAAUCUAUGUCACUGUUAUAAUGGGUCGUUCCAGAAAAGAUCCAUACUCCCCCCACAGAGGAAAUUUCUGCCGUCCGGAGGGGGAGGAGAGAAAAAAUUGUUUCUGAUAAUAGUAAAUGUAUUAGGACAUCCGAAGGGGGUAGGGGGGUUAACUUCCUAUUUCCUCCGUGGGGGCAGUAUGGAUGUUUUCUGGAAUGACCCAAUUGUAGGGAUCCAUAAUAAAAUAAAUAUGUAGGAAUCCAUAAUAAAAUAACAACAAUUUACAAUAUACUUCUUGUGUGUGUUGGUUUUAUUUACUCAGGUGAAUAUGUUUGUGAUGUUACUCUGAGUAUGCAUCCACACCGAGCUGAGCUCAGUUGGUAGAGCAUAAUUGGACUAAUAUCCCAAAGAUGGCAACUUCGAUUCCCACCAUGGUCAGGCAAACUUUUCAGCUUGCCCGGUGUGGAUGCACACUCAGAAUAACAUCACAAACAUCAAUUUACAAUAUUCUAGUAAUCUAUGUCACUGUUAUAAUUGUUUCUUGGAUCAUCUCUGUCCCAUGGUCCACUUUUCGCAAUAAGCAAUGCUGCACUGUAGAGUAAUAGUACCCACCAAGCACACUGAAUUUAUUGGUUGUAGAUCACAGUUAUAUCCAGUUUGCCCUUGUAAAUUUAUUAGUGACAGCACACUGUCCAAAUCUUCAUUAACAGUAUCUGGACCUUGAGGUUGAGAAGGUGGCAAUGGCAGAAUAUCUAAAUCCCACAAAAUAACAUUCCCAAAGAUAAAAGAUUGUCCUGUUCCAUCUCGUCUUAGAUCACUGAGGUCAGAGAACUGCAAUAUAUAAAAACAAUCUU
This is a non-coding RNA of Paramuricea clavata, 2546 nucleotides long. The record is from the annotation of a GenBank genome assembly. Lineage: Eukaryota; Metazoa; Cnidaria; Anthozoa; Malacalcyonacea; Plexauridae.